CGGCGAGUGAAGCGGCAACAGCUCAAAUUUGAAAGCUGGCCCUUUUAGGGUCCGCAUUGUAAUUUGUAGAGGAUGAUUCGGCGAGGGCUCCUGCCUAAGUCCCCUGGAACGGGGCGUCAUAGAGGGUGAGAAUCCCGUAUGCGGUAGGUUGCCUUAGCCAUGUGAAUCUCCUUCGACGAGUCGAGUUGUUUGGGAAUGCAGCUCUAAAUGGGAGGUAAAUUUCUUCUAAAGCUAAAUACCGGCCAGAGACCGAUAGCGCACAAGUAGAGUGAUCGAAAGAUGAAAAGCACUUUGGAAAGAGAGUUAAAAAGUACGUGAAAUUGUUGAAAGGGAAGCGCUUGCAACCAGACUUGUCCGCAGUUGCUCAGCCGGUCUCCUGACCGGCGUACUCUUCUGCGGCCAGGCCAGCAUCAGUUCGGGCGGUCGGAUAAAGGCCUCGGGAAUGUGGCUCCUCUCGGGGAGUGUUAUAGCCCGGGGUGCAAUGCGGCCAGCCUGGACUGAGGAACUCGCUUCGGCAAGGAUGCUGGCGUAAUGGUUGUAAGCGGCCCGUCUUGAAACACGGACCAAGGAGUCUAACAUCUAUGCGAGUGUUCGGGUGUCAAACCCGUACGCGUAAUGAAAGUGAACGGAGGUGGGAACCCGCAAGGGUGCACCAUCGGCCGAUCCUGAUGUCUUCGGAUGGAUUUGAGCAAGAGCAUAGCUGUUGGGACCCGAAAGAUGGUGAACUAUGCCUGAAUAGGGUGAAGCCAGAGGAAACUCUGGUGGAGGCUCGCAGCGGUUCUGACGUGCAAAUCGAUCGUCAAAUUUGGGUAUAGGGGCGAAAGACUAAUCGAAC
This 835-nucleotide ribosomal RNA is filed under the name Dothideomycetes sp. RNAcentral describes it as "partial large subunit ribosomal RNA". It matches the Rfam family "Eukaryotic large subunit ribosomal RNA", at positions 87 to 940 of the family's 3401-position model. Lineage: Eukaryota; Fungi; Ascomycota; Dothideomycetes. The record is from RNAcentral.